GUGCUCGCUUCGGCAGCACAUAUACUAAAAUUGGAACGAUACAGAGACGAUUAGCUUGGCCCCUGCACGAGGAUGACGUGCAGAUUUGUAAAAUGUAAAAAUAAUUC
RNAcentral lists this small nuclear RNA (107 nucleotides) under Octodon degus (degu). Lineage: Eukaryota; Metazoa; Chordata; Mammalia; Rodentia; Octodontidae. The record is from RNAcentral.